GGGUACGUGGAGGAUAGGUAGGGUAGGCAGAUGGGUGGGGUUAGACAGGGAGGUGAGGUGGCAGGACUGGUGCUUCCACAUAAACUGACAUGCAAAUGCUGCCACAAGAGGACACACUCCGGGAGGAAGUAACACGUCAUCGCAACACUGUAACCAACUAGGUGGUCAGUCCUAGCCCAUGACGCCCGGUUUCUUUUGUUAACCUUCAUGUGUCCAGGCACUAUACAAGGCCAUUUAUUUUGUGAAGUUUGUUA
Molecule: non-coding RNA, 254 nt
Organism: Camellia sinensis
Lineage: Eukaryota; Viridiplantae; Streptophyta; Magnoliopsida; Ericales; Theaceae
Source: RefSeq, a predicted model, not a curated record